Molecule: ribosomal RNA, 253 nt
Filed under: uncultured bacterium
Lineage: Bacteria
Also listed under: 1 other name
Description: partial 16S ribosomal RNA
Rfam family: Bacterial small subunit ribosomal RNA
Source: RNAcentral
GACGAACCGUGCGAACGUUGUUCGGAAUCACUGGGCUUAAAGGGCGCGUAGGCGGACUGUCCAGUCAGGGGUGAAAUCCUGCGGCUCAACCGUAGAAGUGCCUUUGAUACUGACAGUCUCGAGGGAGGUAGGGGCGUGCGGAACUUCCGGUGGAGCGGUGAAAUGCGUAGAUAUCGGAAGGAACACCGGUGGCGAAAGCGGUGCGCUGGACCUCUUCUGACGCUGAGGCGCGAAAGCCAGGGGAGCGAACGGG